GACGAACGCUGGCGGCGUGCUUAACACAUGCAAGUCGAACGGUAAGGCCCUUCGGGGUACACGAGUGGCGAACGGGUGGGUAACACGUGGGUGAUCUGCCCUGCACUUCGGGAUAAGCCUGGGAAACUGGGUCUAAUACCGGAUAGGACCACUGCCUGCAUGGGUGGUGGUGGAAAGCUUUUGCGGUGUGGGAUGGGCCCGCGGCCUAUCAGCUUGUUGGUGGGGUGAUGGCCUACCAAGGCGACGACGGGUAGCCGGCCUGAGAGGGUGACCGGCCACACUGGGACUGCGAUACGGCCCAGACUCCUACGGGAGGCAGGAGUGGGGAAUAUUGCACAAUGGGCGCAAGCCUGAUGCGGCGACGCCGCGUGAGGGAUGACGGCCUUCGGGUUGUAAACCUCUUUCAGCACCGACGAAGCGCAAGUGACGGUAGGUGCAGAAGAAGGACCGGCCAACUACGUGCCAGCAGCCGCCGUAA
Molecule: ribosomal RNA, 478 nt
Filed under: uncultured bacterium
Lineage: Bacteria
Description: partial 16S ribosomal RNA
Rfam family: Bacterial small subunit ribosomal RNA
Source: RNAcentral